UAGGGAAUCUUCCGCAAUGGGCGAAAGCCUGACGGAGCAACGCCGCGUGAGUGAUGAAGGUCUUCGGAUCGUAAAACUCUGUUAUUAGGGAAGAACAAAUGUGUAAGUAACUAUGCACGUCUUGACGGUACCUAAUCAGAAAGCCACGGCUAACUACGUGCCAGCAGCCGCGUUAUACGUAGGUGGCAAGCGUUAUCCGGAAUUAUUGGGCGUAAAGAGCGCGUAGGCGGUUUUUUAAGGCUGAUGUGAAAGCCCACGGCUCAACCGAGGAGGGUCAUUGGAAACUGGAAAACUUGAGUGCAGAAGAGGAAAGUGGAAGUCCAUGUGUAGGGGGGAAAUGCGCAGAGAUAUGGAGGAACACCAGUGGCGAAGGCGACUUUCUGGUCUGUAACGGACGCUGAUGUGCGAAAGCGUGGGGAUCAAACAGG
RNAcentral lists this ribosomal RNA (428 nucleotides) under Actinomycetes bacterium. RNAcentral's name for it is "Actinobacteria bacterium partial 16S ribosomal RNA". It matches the Rfam family "Bacterial small subunit ribosomal RNA", at positions 355 to 776 of the family's 1533-position model. Lineage: Bacteria; Bacillati; Actinomycetota; Actinomycetes. The record is from RNAcentral.